Molecule: ribosomal RNA, 447 nt
Filed under: uncultured bacterium
Lineage: Bacteria
Description: bacterial SSU rRNA
Rfam family: Bacterial small subunit ribosomal RNA
Source: RNAcentral
UGGGGAAUCUUGGACAAUGGGCGCAAGCCUGAUCCAGCCAUGCCGCGUGAGUGAUGAAGGCCCUAGGGUUGUAAAACUCUUUCGUGGGGGACGAUAAUGACGGUACCCCAAGAAGAAGCUCCGGCUAACUUCGUGCCAGCAGCCGCGGUAAUACGAAGGGGGCUAGCGUUGUUCGGAUUUACUGGGCGUAAAGCGUGCGUAGAUGGCCGAUUAAGUCGGAUGUGAAAGCCCCGGGCUCAACCUGGGAACGGCAUCCGAUACUGGUGGGCUAGAGUGCGGUAGAGGAGAGCGGAAUUCCCGGUGUAGCGGUGAAAUGCGUAGAUAUCGGAAGGAACAUCAGUUGCGAAGGCGGCUCUCUGGACUCAAACUGACGCUGAGGCACGAAAGCCAGGGGAGCAAACGGGAUUAGAUACCCACGUAGUCCCUGAGCGGGCUGGCAAGGCGCAU